CAUGUUUAUAAGGAUAAAAUUAUAAUAUGGUCUGCCCACUGAUAAAUUAUUAAAGGGCUGCAGUAUUUUAACUGUGCGAAGGUAGCAUAAUAAUUAGUCUUUUGAUUGAAGUCUUGAAUGAAUGAUUGAAUGAUGGAAAAAUUGUCUUAAAAUUUAUAUUUAUAAUUUUAUUUUAAAGUGAAAAAGCUUUAAUAGUUUUAUGGGAAGAUAAGACCCUUUAAAUCUUAUAUUAUUAAAAUUAUUUUAUAAAAAUUUAGUAAAAUAAAGUGUUAGUGAUAAUUUUAUUGGGGUGAUAUUUAAUGUUAUUAAACUUUAAUAAAUUAUACAUGAUAAAUGUUAACUAAAAGCUUAAAUUUAAAAUUUAAAUAAAGUUACUUUAGGGAUAACAGCGUAAUUUUUUUUGAGAGAUCUUAUUGAUAAAAAAGCUUGCGACCUCGAUGUUGAAUUAAAAUAUUAUAAUAGCGCAGAAGUUAUUAUUGUAAGUCUGUUCGACUUUUAAAAUUUUACAUGAUUUGAGUUCAGACCGGUGAAAG
Molecule: ribosomal RNA, 533 nt
Filed under: Eucopia unguiculata
Lineage: Eukaryota; Metazoa; Arthropoda; Malacostraca; Lophogastrida; Eucopiidae
Description: partial large subunit ribosomal RNA
Rfam family: Bacterial large subunit ribosomal RNA (bases 382-533)
Source: RNAcentral